RNAcentral lists this long non-coding RNA (1334 nucleotides) under Sus scrofa (pig). RNAcentral's name for it is "lncRNA (ENSSSCG00060048382.1)". The record is from RNAcentral. Lineage: Eukaryota; Metazoa; Chordata; Mammalia; Artiodactyla; Suidae.
AAAAAAAAAAAAAAAAAAAAAAAAAAAGACUAUUAGGUAAGGAAUUCAACCUGGGGAACAUGAAAACUUUCCAGGAAAUUGAUAAGGUGUCCAAGAUUUGAAAUAUGAGUGGGUGUUUAUUCCAAAAUAGCCUAAGACUCCUCUUCCAAUACAUUAAUUAUGCUGCUGCCAUAAUCACCUAUUCAAAAGUAAAAUCUGGGAGUUCCUGGUGGCCUAGCAGUUAAGGAUCUGGCAUUGUCACUGCUGUGGCUCGAGUUUGAUCCCUGGCCUGGGAACACAUGCCACGGGCACGGCCAAAAAAAAGUAAAAUCUGAUCAUGCUAGAGAUGGGUACACAGGGGUUAUCUAAGGCACAGCUAACGUUCUCUUUCUUUCUGUGGAUACUUGUGACCCUGCUACAAGUAGUACUCGUUUUUUCUUUUCUUUUCUUUUUAAGGCUGCACCUAUGGCAUAUGGAAGUUCCUAGGCUAAGGGUUCAGUCACAGCCUGCACCACAGCCACAGCAACACUAUAUCUGAGCUCCCUCUGUGACUUACUCUACAGCUUGGGGCAAUGCUGGAUCCUUAAUCCACUGAGUGAGACCAGGUAUUGAACCCACAUCCUCAUGGCCACUUAGGUUCUUAACCCACUGAGCUACAAUAGGAAUUCCACAAGCAGUACACUUUAAUGAUCCGUUCAUAGAGCCCUUUCCCUCCUAGACGCUUGUGCAUCUUUCUACCUCCAGUCUCUCAGCACAGAGGAGAUGCUCUAUCAUUUCCUGCUGAAAGAAUAAAUGGCCUAUGGAGAUACCCAUCCACAGAGUUUGGCCUAUAGAAUACCCAUCCACAGAGCUCUAAGUUUACUCAGGGUCUGUGUGACUAGUGGGUAAAUAGGCCAGGUUUACAUAAAAAGCCAAAGUCCCAAAGUUUGAAAACUCAUUUCCCAGUCCCCUUCCAGCCUUGCCCUGUGACUUCACCUUGAGUUAUGCAACAGUUAUAUAAUGGAGAUCCCCGGCAGAGCCCUGCACUUGAAGCGGAUUCUGUUUUGUUCAAAUGAAACCCGGAUUCCAGGGACAUAAUGAUGGCACCCCAGAGCUAUUAUCAGUGUAUAUUGUAGCUUUGGUGUUGAUAAUGAGCAUGUUCAAGCACAUUCCAUUCCUCUCUCUGUUUUAAUCUCCACACCGCUCUGGUUACAAAGCAGUGAGCCUGGCCUCAUCUCUUCCUCUUCUGUCUGCUUUGGUUCUUUUCAGCAGACGCUUGGGUCAAGGGUGAGCUUCCAUUCCUGGCUCUCAGCUGUAAGUCACCUGGAACAAAUCCUUCUUUGCUUUUCCUGUCCCCAAUUGUGCUUUCAAAAAAG